This 505-nucleotide ribosomal RNA is filed under the name uncultured bacterium. RNAcentral describes it as "partial 16S ribosomal RNA". It matches the Rfam family "Bacterial small subunit ribosomal RNA", at positions 28 to 507 of the family's 1533-position model. The record is from RNAcentral.
GACGAACGCUGGCGGCGUGCCUAAUACAUGCAAGUAGGACGCACAGUCUAUACCGUAGCUUGCUACGCCAUAGGCUGUGAGUUGCGAACGGGUGAGUAACGCGUAGGUAACCUGCCUAUUAGAGGGGGAUAACUAUUGGAAACGAUAGCUAAUACCGCAUAACAGUAUGUAACACAUGUUAGAUGCUUGAAAGAUGCAAUUGCAUCGCUAGUAGAUGGACCUGCGUUGUAUUAGCUAGUAGGUAGGGUAAUGGCCUACCUAGGCGACGAUACAUAGCCGACCUGCGAGGGUGAUCCGCCACGCUGGGACUGGGACACGGCCCAGACUCCUACGGGAGGCAGCAGUAGGGAAUCUUCGGCAAUAGGGGGAACCCUGACCGAGCAACGCCGCGUGAGUGAAGAAGGUUUUCGGAUCGUAAAGCUCUGUUGUUAAGGAAGAACGAGUGUGAGAAUGGAAAGUUCAUACUGUGACGGUACUUAACCAGAAAGGGACGGCUAACUACGUG